Molecule: ribosomal RNA, 482 nt
Filed under: uncultured bacterium
Lineage: Bacteria
Description: bacterial SSU rRNA
Rfam family: Bacterial small subunit ribosomal RNA
Source: RNAcentral
GAUUCUGGCUCAGGACGAACGCUGGCGGCGUGCUUCAUACAUGCAAGUCGAACGAGAAACUGACUCGGUUAGUGGAAAGUGGCGACGGGUGAGUAAAAUGUAGAGAAUCUGCCCUUUAGCGGGGGACAACAGUUGGAAACGACUGCUAAUACCCCAUAUGCGCGUACUUGAGAUAGUAUUCGUGAAAACUCCGGUGCUAAAGGAUGAGUCUGCAUCUGAUUAGCUAGUUGGCGGUGUAAUGGACCACCAAGGCGACGAUCAGUAGCUGGUUUGAGAGGAUGAUCAGCCACAAUGGGACUGAGACACGGCCCAUACUCCUACGGGAGGCAGCAGUAGGGAAUUUUGCGCAAUGGGCGAAAGCCUGAACCGCAGCAACGCCGCGUGAACGAAUAAGCCCUUCGGGGUGUAAAGUUCUGUCAGUGGGGACGAAACUUGACGGUACCCACAGAGGAAGCAUCGGCUAACUCCGUGCCAGCAGCAGC